UUAAGAAAAUUUUUAUAUAAUUUAUUAUUUUAAGCUAAUUUUAAAAUUUUACUUUAGUGAAAUUUAUUAUAAAAAUAUCUUUGGUUGGGGCAACCUCGAAGAAAAAUUAACCUUCGAUUAAAUAUAAAAAAUUUACAAAUUUAAAAAUUCAUAAAAAAUUUUAAUUGAUCCGGUAAUUAACCGAACAAAGAAAAAAGUUACCGCAGGGAUAACAGCGUAAUUUCUUUUGAGAGUUCAUAUUGACAAAGAAGUUUGCGACCUCGAUGUUGGACCGAGGCACCCAGAAGAUGCAGAAGUCUUCAAAGGUAGGUCUGUUCGACCUUUAAAGCCUUACGCGAUCUGAGUUCAGACCGACGAAAGU
Molecule: ribosomal RNA, 361 nt
Filed under: Alloeocomatella pectinifera
Lineage: Eukaryota; Metazoa; Echinodermata; Crinoidea; Comatulida; Comatulidae
Description: partial 16S ribosomal RNA
Rfam family: Bacterial large subunit ribosomal RNA
Source: RNAcentral